AACGCAUAUUGCGCUCUCUGGUAUUCCGGAGAGCAUGCUUGUUUGAGUAUCAGUAAACACCUCAACUCCCUUUUCUUUUUUGAAAUGGGAGCUGGACUUGAGUGAUCCCAACACUUUUCUCACUGGAAAGUGGCGGGUCACUUGAAAUGCAGGUGCAGCUGGACUUUUCUCUGAGCUAUAAGCAUAUCUAUUUAGUCUGCCUAAAAAACAGAUUAUUACCUUUGCUGCAGCUAACAUAAAGGAGAUGAGUUCUUGUGCUGACUGAUGCAGGAUUCACAGAGACAGCUUCGCGGCUGACUUUGUAAACUCGAUCUCAAAUCAAGUAAGACUACCCGCUGAACUUAA
This 345-nucleotide unclassified non-coding RNA is filed under the name uncultured Mortierella. Its description in RNAcentral is "sequence contains ITS2". The stretch from base 1 to 52 matches the Rfam family "5.8S ribosomal RNA", at positions 103 to 154 of the family's 154-position model. Lineage: Eukaryota; Fungi; Mortierellomycota; Mortierellomycetes; Mortierellales; Mortierellaceae. The record is from RNAcentral.